UGACAGACCACCUCUUCAUACCGCGUUUGCUGCUGCUCCUCUGGCUGCUCCUGGCGAGUCAGACCCUGCGCCUUCCAUUGCAACAUUUCGCGAUGAUCCGGAGCUUUCUGGCGCUACCGCUUCCCACAUCCAGUGCGUCUGCGAGUGGAGCGAGCGCACACACACAGAAUUUCCUUGCGACCAACAUUCAAAAAUAUAUUUUGCCUUUUUUUUAAAAAAGUACCACAGGAUUUCUGAAGUUCCUUAAAAAGAAAAUCCUUUUAGAGGCACCUUGGCCUCAAUCUGCAACAAAUACUGGGAGGUCCAAGUUGAAUUCCCAGGCUUGCACAGAUAAUGACAGGGUGGUGGAUACUGCGGUAGAAAGUGCCAGACUUCUCUUUUCUUUCUUAACUAAAGAGAAGACUUAGUUCCUUGCUAUAAAAUAACCACUUACAAUAAGAAAAACACAACGGAAGCUUAACACUUAAAUAAGGGAAUUUAAACCGUGCAGUUUGUUUUAACUUAGUAUUCACUCUUUCACUGAAAUCCUAGGAAACUCAAUUUAAUACAUUUUAAUGUAAAAUGAAUAAAAUGUAAAGCUGGCAACCGCUAACUGCUUUUUUACAUUAAAUGAAUCGCUAGAUUGUUUAAUUUUUGGCACCCGCUUUCCACGUUUCUGUUCAUUUAAAAUCAGCCAUUCAUUGAGGUGUUUUUUUUAAAGUUAUACACGUUAUAUGUACGAUGCCAACUCUACAGAAUAUAUAGGGUUCGAUGGUGAACUCGCCGAAGACAAUCUGGUUGUCUGUUAAUUGUUUAUACUAAUAAACCUCGAUGUUUUACUUUUAGCUAAUGUCACUUAGAUUGGUGACAGAGACAAAAAUCUUGUAUAGUCGUAGUAGUAUUGAGUCAUUGUUAUGAUGCACUAAAGGAUCAUCCCCUCUGAACUCGCACAGAUUCAGGGCUUGUUCUUUUCACUCUUUACUCACGCAGACUUCCCACUGAAGUUAGUGGGAGCCCUGCCUGUGUAAAGAGGACAAGAUCGAGCCUGAAAGGCUUAAAGCACUUUCCCCUUGCACAGACUACAUUUAAUUAUAGUUGGUUCAACAACAGACUGUUUUCAGUGACUUCAGGCGUGAAAGUAGCGGGAGUUUGUUGUUUGACUGUGAAAUGAGGAGUGUUGCUUUAAGGUGCACACGGUGUGUGUUCAUUGAAAAAAAAAACCCCGUCUACUUUGAAAGAAAGGGGGAGGGGCGGGGAGGCGGGCCCCGAUCUUUCACGUGAUAGGCGGGCCCCGGGCGCGCAUGGCUAGGCGUUCCUUCCCCUCCCGGGGCGGUGAGUAUGGGCAGCCGCUGCUGUGCAGCCGUAGUACUCAGAGGCUGGAAGCGAAUGCAAAAAGCAGGCGAGUGGCUGAAACAUGCAGGGAACGACAUUCUGUAGGGAGACAUUCUAAAAAAGUGCUCAGGG
Pelodiscus sinensis (Chinese soft-shelled turtle) is the source of this 1443-nucleotide non-coding RNA. The record is from RefSeq and is a predicted model, not a curated record. NCBI's taxonomy places the organism in Eukaryota, Metazoa, Chordata, Testudines, Trionychidae.